AAAUGCUUCACACCUGGUGGACAUGCCCCAUUGUACAGCCCUUCUGGAGGAAAGUCCAGGACAUCAUAGAACAAGUUUUAAGAAUUGAAACAAAGCUCAUCGUAGACAUGUGCAUACUGUUCAUACGUCCGGAACACAUGAAUAAAGUACAAUGGGCAACUACAUACCACGUACUCAUAUCAGCAGCAAUGGUGAUAGCUAGGCUUUGGAAGAUGACAACCCAACCACAAGUCAAU
This is a non-coding RNA of Pelobates cultripes (western spadefoot toad), 236 nucleotides long. The record is from the annotation of a GenBank genome assembly. Lineage: Eukaryota; Metazoa; Chordata; Amphibia; Anura; Pelobatidae.